ACGUCUGCGGUGUUACCCACGACUGCCUGGGACCUGGCCAAGGGCUCCACACACCAAGACCAAGGCAGCAGGAAGGAGAAAGGAGGGAAGGUAAAAGACUACUGAAAAGCUUUCAGCUGGGGCUGGGCAUGGAGGCUCACACCUGUAAUCCCAACACUUUGGGAAGCCGAGGCUGGUGGAUCACUUGAGCCCAGGAGUCUGAGACCAGCCUGGCCAACAUGGCAAAACCCUGUCGCUACAAAAAAUACAAGAAUUAGCCAUGUGCACCUGUGGUCCCAGCUCCCAGGGCCGGGAGCCUGAAACCAAGGUGUCCACAGGGCCCUGCUGCCCCCAGAGGCUCUGGGCAGAGCCCUUCCGCCUUUCCAGCUCCCCCUGGUUCCCGUGCUCCUCGGCCUGUGGCCCCAUCACUCUGGCCUCUGCCUUCAUCUCAUGCCGAGAUCCCUGAAGCGGGCCCAGCUCCGUUCACUGCUCCCCCGGCCUCCUGCUGUUUCCCACACGCAGCCAUGGUACAGGGCAGCUCAUCCCACCACCUCCCCAACCGCAGCCUCCAGGGAUGUACACCCUGCCUCAGGGGCUGUGCCUGGGCCCUGGCUGGUGGAGGGCACAGCCGUCAGGGAAGGCCCUCAGCUGCAGGAUGCCGUGCCUCAGAGACCAACCAGGCCCUCGAAGGCACUGUGGCCGGCCCAGAUGUCAGCAGCUCCAGCAAUUAGGCUGGGACAGAUGGUGCCUGGUGACACAAGGGGACUGUGGGGGCCACAGGGGACCCUGCUCACCUGGACCUACCGUGGAGGCCAGGGAGGGAGAUGGACUCGAAGGGCGGAAGGGCCCAGAGAAGGCACAUUUGCAGAGCAGCGGCCGCAUUUCCAGAGCUCGGGAGCCCAACAGGAAUCCCGUCUGGCCAUGGGACCACCGCCCUUGGGGCUGGGGGAUGCCGCAGGGGACGGCAGAGGGCAGACAGGCCAGGAAAAGGGGAGGGCAGAGGGCAGACAGGCCAGGAAGAGCGCCUGCAAGUGCCCAAGGAAGGGACCAAACCCAGGCCCCUGGACCAGAGCGGCCGCCUGGUGGGGCAGGCUGGAAGGGGCCAAGGCCAGCGCCAAGGGGGAGCAGGUGAGGGACCCUGGUGGGCAUCUGUGGGAACAAGGCCACGUUUCUCCCUGCGCACGCUUUAAUCAAGGACAUUCCUGUGGUUCUCCAAAAGUGUCGCACACUACAUGGGUGUCGUGAGCUGGGCUCCGUGAGAGUGUGCGGGUGGCUGGGGGCAGCAAGGGAGCAGCAAGGCCUCAAACCCGGGCGGCGGCCUGGCCUGCGCGCCAGGAUGUGCGGUGUGAGUUUCCCGAGCUGCAGGAACAAGGUCCACAGACUGGGGAGCUUCACACAACAGAAACUGCCUCGCAGUUCCCGAGGCCAGAGCCCAUCGGGGUGGCUCCCUGAGGCCGUGAGCCCGGACUGUCCUGGGCCGCCCCCUCUUCCACAGGCUGAGAUCAUCCUUGGCGUCUGUUGGCCUGCGGCCGCCUCGCCCAACCUCUGCCCUCAUGUCCACACGGGUCCUCCCUGUGUGCAUGUUGGUGUCUGGAUCUGCCCUUUCUACUGUGGGGCAACUGUCGUCGAGGAUAGGGCCCACCACACAACACGGCCUCAUCGUAACUAAGUAUAGUCAGCAGUGAUCCUAUUUCCCAAUAAGGUCCCAUUCUGAGGUCCUGGACUUCAACAUGUGAAUUUUGGGGGCCACAACUCUACCCUGGCAUGCAGAGAGAGAAGGGGGGCGUGGAGUCCCCCUGGGGGGAAGUCCCUUGGGAAGUCACAGGCCCCCUUGGUGGGGCAAUUGGGACGUGGGUGUGAGGGUCCUGGGUACAGGGAGCCUGCCUACCAAGGCUCUGCCGACAGCUAUUUCUAAAUUCCUCGUGGAAAAUACCCUGUGGCCCUCCUCAUCUGGAGCGAGCGACGGGCUGGAGGGUGUCUGAGCCAGGCUGGUGCCGGGGAGCAGAUGUGGGUGGCCCAACCCAGCCCCUUGUUCUUGUUCCCCACCUCCCAGGAAAGGGGGAGGGUGGGCGGAGCCGGCCCUCCUGGGCUCUCUCCUUGGGUCCCGGAGCCACCUGGGGAGGGGAGGCUCAACCCCCUACCUUGGCCAGCUGGCUGCAGGUCUCUCAGGGCUGGCACAGAACAGCUGGGCUUUGCCAGGUGUCCCCCAUCCUGAUGCACGGCCCGGUGGUGCGGUCUCCAGGCCUCCCAGGAUUCUCAGCUGCGCCGUCUCCCCAGUCCCCAAACCCCAGUGGUGGCCGCCAGGGGACUGGACCGUCAGUCUGUGGAGCUGGGGCUGCAGCUGGUGGUGUUUCCAACAAGGGUCUUUUGGCUGCCUGGCUCCAGGGAGAGGCCUCUGGAGGCAAGGGGUAACCUACCGGGAAAGCCUCAAAGGCACCCCCAUCCCCGCCCCGCACAGACUCCACCGGCCCCCCAUGGUUCCUCCAGGCCCUCUUCAGUCAUGACAGGCAGUGCCUGGGUGCCCGGCCUGCUCAGCACACCCUGGGCCUCAGCCCCACCCAAGCCUUGGCCUAGCAUGGGAGCCACCACGGGAACACACACACGGGCUGGAGGGUGUCUGAGCCAGGCUGGUGCCGGGGAGCAGAUGCGUCAGAUGGAGGAGAAAAGCCCUGGGGCAGCGGCUUCUGGAGCUCUGGCCAAGGAUGGGCUCUGAGCACACCCCUGCCCGGCCCAGAGCACCAGGCCGGGGCAGGGUCAGGAACAGCUUGAAGCCCCCUGCAAAGUCUGUCCCUCCUCCUGGAGCCUCAGCUGCCCCUCCAACACAGCCCUCUGUGGGAGCCUAGAUGGCCCCCGUGUGGCCAUGAGACAUGGGCGGGCGCUGGUGGAUUCCUCUGUGUCAGGUGACAUGGUGGCACCCCGGCCGCAGGCUGUGCCCCGGCUGUGGCGUUAAGAAGGGCUAUGGAUCUAAAUAAAAUCCAGUCUCUUUGCUGG
Molecule: long non-coding RNA, 2970 nt
Organism: Homo sapiens (human)
Lineage: Eukaryota; Metazoa; Chordata; Mammalia; Primates; Hominidae
Product: long independently transcribed non-coding RNA 482
Exons: 4
Source: RefSeq, marked validated